GCAUAUCAUAGCGGAGGAAAAAGAAAACUAACAAGGAUUCCCCCUAGUAACUGCGAGUGAAGCGGGAAAAAGCUCAAAUUUAAAAUCUGGCGGUCUUCGAUCGUCCGAGUUGUAGUCUGGAGAAGCGUCUUCCGCGCUGGACCGUGUACAAGUCUCUUGGAACAGAGCGUCGUAGAGGGUGAGAAUCCCGUCUUUGACACGGACUACCAGUGCUUUGUGAUGCGCUCUCAAAGAGUCGAGUUGUUUGGGAAUGCAGCUCAAAAUGGGUGGUAAAUUCCAUCUAAAGCUAAAUAUUGGCGAGAGACCGAUAGCGAACAAGUACCGUGAGGGAAAGAUGAAAAGCACUUUGGAAAGAGAGUUAAACAGUACGUGAAAUUGCUGAAAGGGAAACGAUUGAAGUCAGUCGCGUCGUCUAGAACUCAACCUUGCCUCGGCUCGGUGCAUUUUCUAGUUGACGGGCCAGCAUCAGUUUUGACCGUUGGAAAAAGGUCCUUGGAAUGUGGCACCUUCGGGUGUGUUAUAGCCUUGGGUCGUAUACGACGGUUGGGACUGAGGACCGCAGCACGCCUUUAUGGCCGGGGUUCGCCCACGUACGUGCUUAGGAUGCUGGCGUAAUGGCUUUAAACGACCCGUCUUGAAACACGGACCAAGGAGUCUAACAUGCCUGCGAGUGUUUGGGUGGUAAACCCGAGCGCGUAACGAAAGUGAAAGUUGGGAUCCCUGUCGUGGGGAGCACCGACGCCCACACCAGACCUUCUGUGACGGAUGUGCGGUUGAGCAUGUAUGUUGGGACCCGAAAGAUGGUGAACUAUGCCUGAAUAGGGUGAAGCCAGAGGAAACUCUGGUGGAGGCUCGUAGCGAUUCUGACGUGCAAAUCGAUCGUCAAAUUUGGGUAUAGGGGCGAAAGACUAAUCGAAACCAUCUAGUAGCUGGGUUCCUGCCGA
Molecule: ribosomal RNA, 944 nt
Filed under: Phlebia rufa
Lineage: Eukaryota; Fungi; Basidiomycota; Agaricomycetes; Polyporales; Meruliaceae
Description: LSU rRNA
Rfam family: Eukaryotic large subunit ribosomal RNA
Source: RNAcentral